Molecule: ribosomal RNA, 497 nt
Filed under: uncultured bacterium
Lineage: Bacteria
Description: partial 16S ribosomal RNA
Rfam family: Bacterial small subunit ribosomal RNA
Source: RNAcentral
GAUGAACGCUGGCGGCGUGCCUAAUACAUGCAAGUCGAGCGAACGGACGAGAAGCUUGCUUCUCUGAUGUUAGCGGCGGACGGGUGAGUAACACGUGGAUAACCUACCUAUAAGACUGGGAUAACUUCGGGAAACCGGAGCUAAUACCGGAUGAUAUUUUGAACCGCAUGGUUCAAAAGUGAAAGACGGUCUUGCUGUCACUUAUAGAUGGAUCCGCGCUGCAUUAGCUAGUUGGUAAGGUAACGGCUUACCAAGGCAACGAUGCAUAGCCGACCUGAGAGGGUGAUAGGCCACACUGGAACUGAGACACGGUCAAGACUCCUACGGGAGGCAGCAGUAGGGAAUCUUCCGCAAUGGGCGAAAGCCUGACGGAGCAACGCCGCGUGAGUGAUGAAGGUCUUCGGAUCGUAAAACUCUGUUAUUAGGGAAGAACAUAUGUGUAAGUAACUGUGCACAGCUUGACGGUACCUAAUCAGAAAGCCACGGCUAACUACGUG